Molecule: long non-coding RNA, 331 nt
Organism: Canis lupus familiaris (dog)
Lineage: Eukaryota; Metazoa; Chordata; Mammalia; Carnivora; Canidae
Exons: 3
Source: RefSeq, a predicted model, not a curated record
CUAGGACAAGUACCGUUUGAAGUACUGGAGAAAAGCAGCAAAUGGAAAAAUGAAAAUUUACAUUCUUUUGGGACUUAUGUUCCAUUGAUGGGAGACAGAGAACAAAUCCAAAGGAUAAACUACGAUUAAAUGAAAUUCAUCAGCUAUCUUGAAUUUCCUCACCAGAGCUUCAUGUUUAACAACAAAUAUCUGUAAUGAGAGAUAUUACAGAUCUGCAGGGGACAGAAUCCAGGUAUCCGACUCCACUUUCCAGUUCGGCUACUACACAGCAAGGUGACGAGGCAUGCUGCUUGACUUUUAUGGAUACCAACUCUAACUCAAAAAUAAAAGG